GAUGAACGCUAGCGGGAGGCUUAACACAUGCAAGUCGAGGGGCAGCACGAUGUAGCAAUACGUUGGUGGCGACCGGCGCACGGGUGAGUAACACGUAUGUAACCUACCCUGUACAGGGGGAUAACCCGGAGAAAUUCGGACUAAUAUCCCAUAAUGAUAUUAAGGGGCAUCCUUUGAUAUUUAAAGCUUCGGUGGUACGGGAUGGGCAUGCGGAACAUUAGCUAGUUGGUGGGGUAACGGCCUACCAAGGCUACGAUGUUUAGGGGACCUGAGAGGGUGAACCCCCACACUGGUACUGAGACACGGACCAGACACCUACGGGUGGCAG
Molecule: ribosomal RNA, 328 nt
Filed under: uncultured Bacteroidota bacterium
Lineage: Bacteria; Pseudomonadati; Bacteroidota
Description: bacterial SSU rRNA
Rfam family: Bacterial small subunit ribosomal RNA
Source: RNAcentral